This is a non-coding RNA of Nerophis lumbriciformis (worm pipefish), 4713 nucleotides long. Lineage: Eukaryota; Metazoa; Chordata; Actinopteri; Syngnathiformes; Syngnathidae. The record is from RefSeq and is a predicted model, not a curated record.
UCAAUUGUCAACUUUCUUGCUGCUACAUAUAUACAACUUGCAAUCUGCUCUUUCAGACAAGGACCCCAUUUGGAUGUUUACACCACUGUAUUUUAUACGAAAACAAACACAUUGUAUUUUUGUACUCUUAUCUCUUUGAAAUUUGUUGUUGGUUUUAGUCUGUAGAGUCUACACCGGUAGAAGACGGUAGAAAUGAAAACCUACAAAGUCUGCUCUCUGAGACGCCAUUUUGGACAGAAUACAAUUUUCAUCACAUUUUGGUCACUUUAGCUGCUCCUUAAUGUGGAUAUUACAACUUCCAAAGUCGGUGUAUCAACUUCCUGGAGACCAGGGAUGAACCCAAGGGAUUCAGAGCUUCCAAUAUUGAAUUAUCAACCUCCCAAAGACCAGAGAUGAACCUAAGGGAUUCAGAGCAUGGAGCUGACACCAAGAGAGCUUUCUGGAGAGGAGGCGGAUUGGUACGAGCUCCUGAUGCCGCUGCUCGAACCCAUGGUGGAGAUGGGCGUCCUGGACAACGAUUUACCACCGCCUCCACUGGUUGACCCAGACGACCUACCCAUGUUAACAAUGUUAACAGAAAAUGAUAUAGGUUACCUGGGUGACCAGUUAACUUACUCCAGUUGCAUGCAACCAUCUUACCUCGACAUGAACCCACUAGGUGAUGUUACCAAGCAGUACAUGAACCAUCAGUACCCGGUCUCUGAGUGGCCUGUCCAUCACCUGCAUGCUCCCACACCACCGAUAAGAACUUUCACACACACACUUACUUGAUACUCUGCAAAUAAUUGAGUAGAGGAUUUAAUUGGAGUGUUCAUUAAGAAGUACAUAGUAUAUCAGAUUUUAGUAUGUAUUACUUACAAAAAGCAAAUUAACUAGCAUAGAAAGUGUCUGACAAUAACAAAUAUAUUGUUAAGCAUGUUUCAUGGUGGAAAUUCAAGUUCACUAAGAUCAGUUUAUCCACAAAUAUGACCAGAAGUUCUCAGGUUGAAUGACACUAUUUUUAUUUUGGGUCUUUUCUUGCGAUCAAGUACGUCUCACCAAUGGACACAGUUUGAUUCCAUACAUGUUUUUGUGUCCUCAGCAGUGUCUUGAAGUACCCCCAAAGAUGCUAUAACUGUAACUCAUAAAGACAUUCCUGCCUCUACAAAGGACUCUACAUCAACGUUUUGAAAGAGGAAACGUGACGUCCUGGAGGGUGGAGAGAAGGCCUAUAUGGGAAAAAAACACAAAACAUCUUCAUGAUCUUCAGGAAGGAGGAAAUGUCCAAAGUCAAAGCUCAGCUCAAAUGGUUGGCGGAAUAAAACUACCAUCUUUUCAGAGGUUACCCUCAUUGAGGAGUGACAUGGACGACGUCACCAGCCUCCUCCAGACAGCAGCAUGUACAUCUCGGCUGCUGAGAAGGAUGAAUGAGAUGAUGUCAUAGGCCAGAAUGAAGAUCAAACCCUCCAAAUUUCAUAGCCUGUCACUCAGAAGGGGAGUCAGAAAAGACUACACCACCUUUGUCGUCGGAGAAGAGAAAAUCUCCCUCUUGUCGGAGCAACCCGUCAAAAGCUUGGGGAGGCAGUACACCGCCCAACUGUCUGACAAACAGAUGGCAAGGACCGUCAUGAAACAGCUCACGGACGGCCUGGCAAUGAUCGACCAGAGCCAAGGUCAGGUCUGGUGCUACCAGCACAUACUCUACAGGAGAGUGAUGUGGCCCCUAAAAAUUAGUGAGAUCCCGUCCUCCGUUGUAAGAUGGAUGGAAAAGCCAACGCAUUCAUCAGAAAAUGGCUGGGACUGCCAAGGUGCCUUUCUGAAACGAGCCUCUUUGGGACAAAUGUACUACAUCUUCUAUUGCAGUCCAUCAGGCUGGUGCUCGAGCUAAGGGAAUCCACUGACCAGUCAGUGAGAAACGCCAACACCAAGGUUCCCACUGGCUGAAGGUGGAACGCCCAAGCUGAGGUUGACCAAGCCAUCAGUAGGCUGCAACAUCGAGACAUCAUGGGCAGAGUCCAGGCAGGAAGAGCAGGGCUAGGAUGGGGAGAAGAGCCGCGGUUCUGGUCCAAGGCUAACCGCAAGGAGAUGAAGGAGAUGGUGGUGGCAGAGGUGUCGAGGAUAGAGGAAGAGCGCUACAAGAUCAAGGCUGUGUCGCAGUGCCGACAAGGACACUGGACAAUCUGGGAGGGAGUUCUCAACUGCAAGAUCAGUUGGUCUGACCUGUGGAAGAUCCCACAGGCAAGGAUCAGUUUCCUCAUACGUGCUACUUACGACACGCUUCCCUGUCAUCAUAACCUUCAUCAAUGGUUCGGGAAUGAGGAAACCUGCGCACUCUGCAAUGCUCCCAACGCAAGCCUCCAGCAUAUCUUGUCAGGCUGCAAGGUCGUACUCUCCCAGGGCGCUAUAGAUGGCAUCACGACAAUGUCCUGUAGAAACUGGCUGAGGUGCUGGAGUGGUGUCAACUGGACAGCUAAGAACCAGCAGAGAACCACACCAUCUUUGUCAUGGAAGGGGGUGGACAAAGACACACCAGGCCAAGAGAGACAUCGAGGCCCUUCUGCCCCGGCCAGGAGUGGGACAUGAGGGUUGAUCUCAACAAGCAGCUCCGGUUCCCCAUGGAGAUCACAGCUACAUCUCUCCGUCCUGACAUCGUGGUGUUGUCCAGCAGGGCAAGAGCGGUGCACCUCAUUGAACUGACAGUGCCAGCAGGAGAGGGGAUUGAAGCCGCCUUUAAGCGCAAGAAGGCCAAGUAUGCAGAGCUGGCUGCAGAGUGCCAGGAGCAUGGCUGGAAGGCUACCAUCUACCCAGUGGAGGUUGGCCGCCGUGGCUACGUGGGGCUGUCAGCCACACGCCUUUUGAGGGACGCAGGACUGACUGGAGGGAAGCUGAGGAAAGCCAUAAAAGAUUUGGCAGAGAAGGUUGAGAAAGGCAGCUUUUGGGUCUGGCUGAGGAGGAAGGACAGAAGCUGGGGAAAGAACAACAAACCCCGACAGCAGCCGCAGGGGGUAACAUCUAUCAGCUGCAGGGGGACGUCUCUGUCACUGUUCCGCCACCAGGAGAUGUUCUAGCGAUUAAAGGAGCGAAACGUUGAGGAAUGGUGGUUCCGAGCUGAUGACCCUGCAGCUGACCCGUGGGCACCAGAGGAGGUGCAACAUGCAGCAAUGCCAAGCAGGAAAGACCACCUACCUGUACAUCAACAGGAACAAUGCUGAGGCCAAUAAUGUCGUGGGUCACAUGUGGAGGUCGCUCUCAGCGUCGAAGCAGGAAAAUUAUUAUCAGCUUACCGACAUAGAAAACAGAAUCCACCGGGGGUUGUACCCAAACUGGUCCUACACAGACAACUAUAAGUAGCAGAGAAAGCUAGCCACUGGCUCUGGCUGAAACGACGCGACAAGGCUUGGGGAGCAACAUCCAAGUAGGUUUGCUGCAGGGGGUGUCAGGGAGACGUCCCUGUUCACUGCCUCGCCACCAGGAGAUGUUCUGGGCUAAGGGGCGAAACAUCAAUGAGAGGUGGUCCCCAGCUGAAGACCCUGCAGCAAAACCUUUUCUGGUAUGCGGCCAGGUUUAGGCCUGCCUCAGGGAAGAGGACGUCCCUGCUAUGCACAGUCCACCACAGGCACCGGUGGAGGGCAAAAGAAAGAGGAAGCAGAGAGCAACAGUCUCAACAAGGAUCAAGCAAAGUGUUUGUCACUGUGUGACAGAAUAAAAUGCAGACCUGUCAACAUGACUGUACUUUGCUGCUCCCUAGUAGACACCAGAGCAGGUGGGUGAGCAUGAGACGAGAAGGAAUGACACGGGAGGCUGCAGCCAACAGUCUCGGCACAGCAGAGGAGGAGGAGAUUGGUGGACAGCAUAUACUAGAAUCCCUACAAAAGUUUCUUGGGAGUUUGUUGGAUGAUUGGCCAGACUGAGAACAACAGAGCGUCAAACAAGCAAGGUGACGAAUCAACACAACAACUAAGGAAGCCAGAUGUGCUUGAAAAUGAAUCUUUGCACAGCUGCUAGUUCCCAGCUUUGUGACUGCACUGCUGCUGCUGCAACAUGUGCAACCUGAAGACCCAAGGCACAAUGCUGGGAGUUUGCUUUCCAAAAUAAAGUGGACCUUGCAUUAAACUAUAACAUUGUCACAUUUGGACAAGCAGACAUAAAAUAUGACUUUCAAAUAAGUCAUGCCUAGCAAUUACUGUUUUAUAUGUAACACAAAGAUAACAAUUAAACAUGUUGUGUGAAUGUGAGUGUGAAUGUUGUCUGUCUAUCUGUGUAGGCCCUUGGAUGAGGUGGCGACUUGUCCUGGGUGUACCCCGCCUCCAGCCCGAAUGCAGCUGAGAUAGGCUCCAGCACCCCCUCGUGACCCCAAGAGGGACAAGCAGUAGAAAAUGGAUGUAUGGAUGGAUGGUGUCUUUUAUUGACAAUUUCAUAAAAUACAUGAAAUGUUUUAUACUAUUGCAUAUACUGUUUAUAUCUAUGGCCUGUUACAGUUAACACUAUUGAUUUUAUUUUUUAAACAGUUUAUGUUUAACAGCCUCACUUUCAAUAAAUGCCUGUUGUGUGGAAAAGGUGAACAGAUUUUAGUCACACCUGGUUUUUUUUAACUGAGAAGGUGCAUACUACCACCAUGUGGAAAAUGAUCUAAAUUACAUUUGUUAACCAGUUGUCCACAGCAAAGGUUCUCAAACUGGAGUCAUGGAAGCCCCAGUAGUGUUAGGUUGGUGGUCUAAAUGUUUUUGCAAUAAA